GGCAGCUUAGGAUUCAUUAUUCUUUGCUCAUUCCUUCUAUUCUUUUCUCUAUACGUUGGUGUUCUAACCAAUAAUCACCGAUACGAUAUUCUGUUCGAUAAACGUAUUCCACUCUGUUAAACUAUAUGUUUAACUAUCAGAAAACUUCAAUCCAUAACCUUACUAUCAAACAAGAUGAUUAAUCAUCAGAAGAUUCAGAACUAUAAAGUAGGUACUUAGAAUCAAGAUGCUUGUUUAAUAAAGACUAUAUGCUACCAAGGUGAUUGCAGUAGAUCGGAAUAAGAGUUGGAUACGACACUAAAAGGCUUAAAGAAGUGGCUCAUUUUAUCAUUAAAUUAAAUUAAGAAAAGUUGUUUUAUGUAUUCGGAUUAUCCAAUAUAAAAGCUACCUUUGUAAAACAUGAGUUUAUUCCUAUCUGU
This 419-nucleotide long non-coding RNA is filed under the name Helianthus annuus (common sunflower). Its description in RNAcentral is "hypothetical non coding rna". The record is from RNAcentral. Lineage: Eukaryota; Viridiplantae; Streptophyta; Magnoliopsida; Asterales; Asteraceae.